UGCGGUAAGAGCGCACCAGUUCUCUGGGUGACCAGGGAAGCUAUGUAAACCCCACCUGGUGCAAGACCAAAUAGGGAAGCGUUUUAGAACAGCCCAUUCGAGUUUCCGGGUAGGUCGCAGGAAGCGUCUGGCAACAGCCGCUCAUAGAUGAAUGAUCGUCACCCUGUGCAGGGCAACCUGUGCAGGGAACAGAAUUCGGCUUAUGGACCUCUCUGACCG
RNAcentral lists this RNase P RNA (219 nucleotides) under Desulfobacteraceae bacterium. RNAcentral describes it as "partial RNase P RNA component class A". It matches the Rfam family "Bacterial RNase P class A", at positions 163 to 367 of the family's 367-position model. Rfam says of the family: Ribonuclease P (RNase P) is a ubiquitous endoribonuclease, found in archaea, bacteria and eukarya as well as chloroplasts and mitochondria. Its best characterised activity is the generation of mature 5'-ends of tRNAs by cleaving the 5'-leader elements of precursor-tRNAs. Cellular RNase Ps are ribonucleoproteins. The record is from RNAcentral. Lineage: Bacteria; Pseudomonadati; Thermodesulfobacteriota; Desulfobacteria; Desulfobacterales; Desulfobacteraceae.